This 468-nucleotide ribosomal RNA is filed under the name uncultured bacterium. RNAcentral describes it as "partial 16S ribosomal RNA". It matches the Rfam family "Bacterial small subunit ribosomal RNA", at positions 28 to 507 of the family's 1533-position model. The record is from RNAcentral.
GACGAACGCUGGCGGCGUGCUUAACACAUGCAAGUCGAACGGAAAGGCCCUGCUUUUGUGGGGUGCUCGAGUGGCGAACGGGUGAGUAACACGUGAGUAACCUGCCCUUGACUUUGGGAUAACUUCAGGAAACUGGGGCUAAUACCGGAUAGGAGCUCCUGCUGCAUGGUGGGGGUUGGAAGGUUUCGGCGGUUGGGGAUGGACUCGCGGCUUAUCAGCUUAUUGGUGGGGUAGUGGCUUACCAAGGCUUUGACGGGUAGCCGGCCUGAGAGGGUGACCGGCCACAUUGGGACUGAGAUACGGCCCAGACUCCUACGGGAGGCAGCAGUGGGGAAUAUUGCACAAUGGGCGGAAGCCUGAUGCAGCAACGCCGCGUGCGGGAUGACGGCCUUCGGGUUGUAAACCGCUUUCGCCUGUGACGAAGCGUGAGUGACGGUAAUGGGUAAAGAAGCACCGGCUAACUACGUG